AGGUACAUUUCUUUUGGCUUUUGAUGUGCAGCUCUACAAAACCAAAGGGAAGCAGCUGUAUCUGAACUAUUAAGAGAUAAGGAUGAGUAAAACCUGGAACAAUUUACUAAGAUAAUGAAGACUCUCCCAAGUGGUGCUUCUGAGCAAACACAGGGCAAUGAAAGGAGAGGCUAACAUCACUUAAUUUUUAAGGAUUCUCUGCUUCAUGGUGCCAGCCUGAAAACUAGCUUUCGAGGCACAUUCCACAUUAUAGUGAUAGCUUGAAUUGAGUUUGCAGCCAUCAAGCAUGUUGUAAAACCAUACCUAAUUUGCUUCAAAAUAUGGAACCAGCAUGUCAGGAAACUGUUUUGCUUUUACUAGAAUUAAAUGUGAAAUAACCUUUUUUGUGCUCUUUUUACAAAAUGUCCAUGAAACCUGCAACAAUUACAGGGAGCUCCCUACUUAUUUUCAGAAGAUAGAUAUCACUUGCUUCAAGAACUUUGUUCUUCAUUAUCCAAGAUGCUUUUUCUACGCUUGCAGGAUAACUUUCAGGAUAUGAAAAGUGUCUUUGAAGCUCA
Molecule: long non-coding RNA, 557 nt
Organism: Gopherus evgoodei (Goodes thornscrub tortoise)
Lineage: Eukaryota; Metazoa; Chordata; Testudines; Testudinidae
Exons: 4
Source: RefSeq, a predicted model, not a curated record